This is a small nucleolar RNA of Malania oleifera, 106 nucleotides long. NCBI's taxonomy places the organism in Eukaryota, Viridiplantae, Streptophyta, Magnoliopsida, Santalales, Ximeniaceae. The record is from RefSeq and is a predicted model, not a curated record.
ACAUGAUGGUGUGGGCAUUUUCGUAGGAGGUCCCUAAAGCGCUCCCAAGUCUCAAAAAAUAGUUCCCCAUCCAAUUGUGAGAAACUAGUGAUGGCUCUACUAAGCU